RNAcentral lists this ribosomal RNA (1187 nucleotides) under Sinomonas sp. FMS_60mD11. Its description in RNAcentral is "bacterial SSU rRNA". It matches the Rfam family "Bacterial small subunit ribosomal RNA", at positions 158 to 1352 of the family's 1533-position model. The record is from RNAcentral. Lineage: Bacteria; Bacillati; Actinomycetota; Actinomycetes; Micrococcales; Micrococcaceae.
UGGGUCUAAUACCGGAUAGGACCCCUUGCCGCAUGGUGGGGGGUGGAAAGCCUUGUGCGGUCUUGGAUGGGCUCGCGGCCUAUCAGCUUGUUGGUGGGGUGAUGGCCUACCAAGGCGACGACGGGUAGCCGGCCUGAGAGGGUGACCGGCCACACUGGGACUGAGACACGGCCCAGACUCCUACGGGAGGCAGCAGUGGGGAAUAUUGCACAAUGGGCGCAAGCCUGAUGCAGCGACGCCGCGUGGGGGAUGACGGCCUUCGGGUUGUAAACCCCUUUCGGCAGGGAACAAGCCGCUUCGGUGGUGAGGGUACCUGCGGAAGAAGCGCCGGCUAACUACGUGCCAGCAGCCGCGGUAAUACGUAGGGCGCGAGCGUUAUCCGGAAUUAUUGGGCGUAAAGAGCUCGUAGGCGGUUUGUCGCGUCUGCUGUGAAAGCCCGGGGCUCAACCCCGGGUCUGCAGUGGGUACGGGCAGGCUGGAGUGCAGUAGGGGAGACUGGAAUUCCUGGUGUAGCGGUGAAAUGCGCAGAUAUCAGGAGGAACACCGAUGGCGAAGGCAGGUCUCUGGGCUGUAACUGACGCUGAGGAGCGAAAGCAUGGGGAGCGAACAGGAUUAGAUACCCUGGUAGUCCAUGCCGUAAACGUUGGGCACUAGGUGUGGGGGCCAUUCCACGGUUUCCGCGCCGCAGCUAACGCAUUAAGUGCCCCGCCUGGGGAGUACGGCCGCAAGGCUAAAACUCAAAGGAAUUGACGGGGGCCCGCACAAGCGGCGGAGCAUGCGGAUUAAUUCGAUGCAACGCGAAGAACCUUACCAAGGCUUGACAUGUGCCGGACCGUCCCAGAGAUGGGGCUUCCCUUCGGGGCCGGUUCACAGGUGGUGCAUGGUUGUCGUCAGCUCGUGUCGUGAGAUGUUGGGUUAAGUCCCGCAACGAGCGCAACCCUCGUUCCAUGUUGCCAGCACUUCGGGUGGGGACUCAUGGGAGACUGCCGGGGUCAACUCGGAGGAAGGUGGGGACGACGUCAAAUCAUCAUGCCCCUUAUGUCUUGGGCUUCACGCAUGCUACAAUGGCCGGUACAAAGGGUUGCGAUACUGUGAGGUGGAGCCAAUCCCAGAAAGCCGGUCUCAGUUCGGAUUGGGGUCUGCAACUCGGCCCCAUGAAGUCGGAGUCGCUAGUAAUCGCAGAUCAG